Molecule: long non-coding RNA, 762 nt
Filed under: Homo sapiens (human)
Lineage: Eukaryota; Metazoa; Chordata; Mammalia; Primates; Hominidae
Description: HSALNT0373932
Source: RNAcentral
GAAGCUGUCAAGGUCCUCACAGUACAAUUUUCUCUCUGCCUCAGCGCCUCCUCCUCCCCUUUCUGGAGGCUGGGAAGUUCAAGACCAAUGCACGAGAAUUUGGUCUAAAGAGAAUCUUCUUGCUCUGAACACACAUAGUAGAAGGCAGAAGGGCAAGAGAGAGAACAAAGUCUGUGUCUCCACAUGGCAGAAGAGCAGAGGAGACAGAACCUACUCCUCUAUGGCAACCACCCCAUCAAUGACAAAAAUCCUAGAAGGAUGUAUGUAUAGGAAGUUGAAGUGUUGAGAAGAGAAUGGCUCAGAGUCAAGCGGGAACAAGUUCUAUAUCUGGAUAAAGUGCGAAGGAGCUUAAAUCUGUUGAAACCCAAAAUUUGCCUCCGUUUAAUGGCUUAGUUUCUUCUGUCUAAUGGUAACUGGAAUUUCCCUUUCUAAUUGUGUAUUGAAGAACGAGAACGACUCAUGUUUAAGUGUUAGAUGUAAGUCAUUUCAUAAUUACUCGUGCACUUCAAAAACAACAAAAAUAAAAUCAAAAUCAUAGAUUAUAUGGAAAGCUCAAUUCAAAAUUUGUAAAAUGUAGCAUUUUGUUGCAUUUUAUAGGAAAACAUAGGAUUGUAAUAACAUUAAAUUAUGUAUAUAUUUUUACUCUUCAUUAAAUGAAAUUUAGAGACAUCGUCAAUCAUUAAGUUGCAUUUAGUGAGGUGUUAACAGAAAUUAAUUCAUUGUAAACAUAAUAAUAAAAUGAAUGGAGCAGAAUUACCGAAG